UUAGUUUUUAUAUCCAAAGCUAAAAUAUAUACAGAUUUAAGACAUAUUUGUGUGAUAAUAUAAUGAAUCACAAUUUAAGUUUUAAUCAAUUGUGGUAAAAACGUACGUUAGGAAACCUCAAUGGUCAAUAAAGACUCAUAUAUAUAUAACCUAUAUACAUAUACAGGGUGUAUAAAAAAAGGUAAUCGAACUUCAGCGUGCUAUUGUAUCUGAAUUACUUUGCGUAUAAACAAGAUUUUUUAUCUUUGGAAAGAUCAGGCUUUUACGGCUGUUGAAUAACAUGUUCUCAUGCCAAAUGGAUAAAAAAUAAGCAAGUACAAGUCCGAUAAAAAAUGCUAGUCAGAAUCGCAUAUUUUCAUCGUUGAGAGUUAAGUUGAUGAAAAUUUACUUCAAUAAACUACGCACAUAUUUAACAAUUAUUGGAUGAGGUUUUUGUGAUAUGCGGAAUUAUCAAGGUCGAGGUAAGCGUUAUCAGCCGAGCCGAAGGCGAGGCUGAUAACGCUUACCGAGACCUUGAUAUAACUUUGCAUAUCGCAAAAACAGAAUUCAAUAAUUGUUUUAUUAUACAUUUGUUUGUGUUAAAUAGAUACCGCUUGCUAAUCAUCGCAGGCUCAUUUGCAGAUAACUCAGUUAUCUGCUAGCCGAUAACUGAAUUUUCUGUAGGUUGCGUGAUUUAACUGUAAGCUCUUAGCCAAUCAAAUUGCUUUUACCAACUCCAAUGUAUAAUAAUUAACAAUUAUUGGAUGAGGUUUUUGUGAUAUGCGGAAUUAUCAAGGUCGAGGUAAGCGUUAUCAGCCGAGCCGAAGGCGAGGCUGAUAACGCUUACCGAGACCUUGAU
Non-coding RNA from Paramuricea clavata, 838 nucleotides. NCBI's taxonomy places the organism in Eukaryota, Metazoa, Cnidaria, Anthozoa, Malacalcyonacea, Plexauridae. The record is from the annotation of a GenBank genome assembly.